UUACGGCCAUAUCCCGCUGAAACACCGGUUCUCGUAUGAACUCCGACGUUAAGCAACGUCCAGGCUUGUCAAUGCCUAAAUGGUAGACCUCUUGGGAAGACUAGGUGCU
This is a non-coding RNA of Acanthosepion pharaonis, 109 nucleotides long. Lineage: Eukaryota; Metazoa; Mollusca; Cephalopoda; Sepiida; Sepiidae. The record is from the annotation of a GenBank genome assembly.